Long non-coding RNA from Anopheles merus, 789 nucleotides. RefSeq lists it as uncharacterized. Lineage: Eukaryota; Metazoa; Arthropoda; Insecta; Diptera; Culicidae. The transcript is spliced from 3 exons. The record is from RefSeq and is a predicted model, not a curated record.
UGUAUUCACUACAUGCUAAGUUUAACGCUUUCAUUUAAUACAUUGAGAAAACUUCCAAAUUCUUUUGUGGUGUAGCUGCAGUGACUAUAUACAUAGAAUAAUGAACAAAGCAAUGCAGUUGUCAUGGAUUAGUUUGCAUAACUGUCCAUCGGGGUACUCUUCACUCUAUAGUUUUAUUGUGUAUAAUUACAAUACUGAUUUCAGUUCUGAAAGGGAAAAUUUAAAAAAAAGUACAGUAUCUUGAUAACGAUUGGCUACACGAGUAACAUUUACACUCUGUUUUAUCGACGCCACGAGAAAAAACGUGAGAUUCGUGCGGACGGCAAAAUGUUCAGAGCACUGGAUCUUUGAAAAAUUAUUUUAUUAUAUUUACCUAAUGUGUUUUCAUAUUUGGAUUGAUUAGGUAAAAUAAUUAUCCUACCGGAACCUGCCUUCAAGAUUCAUCUGUUUGCAAGUGUUAGGAAAAGGGUGAAAGUAUGUCUUCCAAGACUAGUGACAUAUGGCAACAUUUUGAAGACCAAGGAAAUACGGCCAAAUGUCGCUAUUGUUCCAAGGCGAUUUCAUUUUCCAACAAAUCUAGUUCGAAUCUGAAGCGACAUAUGAGAUCUAUGCACCAUACUAUUCCGAUUGAGAGAAAUGCUCCUACAGCUACUACUUCUUCAAUACAAUUGACAGAUAACGACGAAACUACGUUGCCUGCUGCAGGCCCGUCAAAAAAACAGGGGGAUCUUUUACGUUUCUUUGACGCAAAUAAGCCGCUAACUAUUGCUCAAAAAAGAUAGCUCGAAC